Molecule: RNA transcript, 2304 nt
Organism: Prunus mume (Japanese apricot)
Lineage: Eukaryota; Viridiplantae; Streptophyta; Magnoliopsida; Rosales; Rosaceae
Gene name: CLK4-associating serine/arginine-rich protein
Source: RefSeq, a predicted model, not a curated record
GGUGGAGGCAACAAGUGGGAACUGAGAAAGGGUUAGGGCUCUCUGUUCUUCUGUUAGGUGCACAACUCAACCAGUCGACCCGAAUCGGAAUCCGAAUCGAAUCAAACCGAAACCGGUCGAAGAUGUGGCACGAAGCAAGGAGGUCGGAGCGGAAGGUCCACGACAUGAUGGACGCCGCUCGAAAGCGAGCUCAACGACGUGCCGUUUUCCUUGCCAAGCGCCGCGGCGACCCGCAGCAAUCGAUCCAGGUCGUUGGCUCCCGCUGCCGUUUGUACCGCGACGACGGCCUCUACCAAGCCUCCGAGGACCAGCAAGGCCUGAUUCCUUGGAAUGGGAAACAGGACGUUUUGAUUGAUAGAUUUGAUGGGCGUGCUCUUCUCGAUUUUAUUCGAGAGUCCCGGCACUUACGUGCUCAAGAAAAAUCGGAAGAAGAGGAAGAAUUAGAAGAGUUUGUUAAUUUUGAGCGUUAUCGGGAUUUAAUUAAGCAUCGUCGUAGAGGAUUUACAGAUGAAGAGGGUUUGCAACAUGUGAAUGAAGAAAUAGAGACAAGGGUUACUGCUCCAUUUGCUCCUGAGAGGUCUCAGAUGCAACAACCUUCUGCCGUUAAAGGUUCUUAUUCACAGGUGGGGUUCUCUUAUGAAGGGGAUGGAAAAGAAGAGGCUCAGUUUUCAGACGCUGAUGAUAAUGAUGAAGAUGAUGAAGAAGAUGAGGAUGAGGAUGAUUUCAACAGUGAUGAUAGCGGUGAUGAAGGAAUGGAUAAAAUAGCAAAAGAAUUUGGAAUAAAAAGAUAUGGUUGGCUUGUAUACAUGGAUAAGAAAGCUAAGGAGGAGGAGAAAAGACAAAAGGAAGUGAUCAAAGGCGAUCCUGCAAUUAGGAAGAUGAGUCGCAAGGAAAGAAGGAAGGCUUCUCAGAUAGAAAGGGAGAGGGCAAGAGAAGCUGCACGGGUAACUGGAACUCAGGUGCUCCACCAUGAUCCGUACCGUGAAUCUAGACGAAGUCCAACAUAUGAAGCUUAUCCUCGCUCAAGAAGGUCAAGAUCGCGAUCAUACUCACCAUCAUUCUCACGGAGAUAUCCUCGUGGACGACAUUCUGAUGAAGCUCAUCGAAGCAAACCAGCAACUUCUAAAAUAGAAUAUAUUACUGAAUUUGGGGGCUCCGGAGAUAAGGAUGAAUCAAAGCGUGCAGGAUUUUCUCCACCGUCAUCUCCUCCCUCACAGGCCGAUGUGUUAAACCGGCCUUCAACUGGUCUCAUACUCGAGGCUCUGCACGUUGAUCCAGCAUCCGGUGCAUCCCUUGAGAAGGAUAAGGGCACUAAAGUGGUGAAACCACCAGCAAGUACAUCCUCAGCGUUAGCAAAGUUAACUAAGGGAAGUACUUCUGGUGGGCCAUUGAAACAGCAACCAGUGGAGAAGAAAGAAACUCCUCAAGAACGACUUAAAAGGAUUAUGAGCAGGCAGCUGAACAAACAAAUUAAGAAAGAUACUGCUGCUGAAAUUGCUAAAAAGAGAGAGCAGGAGCGCCAGAGGUUGGAAAAACUUGCAGAAACAAGCCGAUUAAGUAGAUCUAGACGUCGUAGUCGUAGCAGGAGCUAUAGCCGCUCUCCUCCACGAAGAUACCGAGAUAGUAGAAGUCGGAGUAGAAGCAAGAGUUCCCGAAGACAUUAUUCUCGAUCUCGGUCUCGGUCUCGGUCUCAUUCCCGCUCCCGCUCCCGAACCCGUAAUCGUUCACGCACGUACUCCCGCUCACCAAGGGUACGAAGCCGAACAAGACAUUGAUGGAUAUUGAAUUGACGCAAGGUGAUCAGAGUACUUCAAAUACUUGGAUUGGAGUAUUUUUGUACUUUUAGAAAGACUAGCGACUCUUCUGAGGGGACAAAUGACUUUAGUCGUUGCUAUAAUGGAACCAUUGGAUGGGCUUAUACGCUUGAUGAUGUGCAUGUUUUAAAGGAGUAUUUGCUGCCUGCUUAUUAUACGUAGAGAAUGAUAGCUUUCAAGCUCGAGCUUCAGCCUCGAUUGCUGCUUGAGCUGGCUUUGUUUGUGGAAAUAGUUUGAGUACAUUUGGAAGUAUCAACGAACAAGCUGAGCUUAAACUGGGCUUGACGUGUCUAAAUAAAAAUCAAACGCACUGUUUGUGAGCUUUAUGAGUUGAGCAUGAUAAAACUCGAGCUCGACUUUGUUUUUUUUUUUUAUAUAUGUUUAUAAUUAAUUUAAUAUUUGGUUUGAAUUCAGCUCCUCACUUGUACGAACUGAACAGAAAACGCGUCUUGUAUUGAUCCGGUUUAUAGAUUGUUUGAGAGUUCUCUCA